RNAcentral lists this ribosomal RNA (446 nucleotides) under Vicia amurensis. RNAcentral describes it as "eukaryotic LSU rRNA". The stretch from base 278 to 446 matches the Rfam family "Eukaryotic large subunit ribosomal RNA", at positions 1 to 171 of the family's 3401-position model. The record is from RNAcentral. Lineage: Eukaryota; Viridiplantae; Streptophyta; Magnoliopsida; Fabales; Fabaceae.
CCGGGGAACAUCCGAGUCUUUUGACGCAAGUUGCGCCCGAUGCCAUUAGGUUGAGGGCACGUCUGCCUGGGUGUCACAUAUCGAAGCCUCCUUGACUAUUCUGCAGGGUGGAUGUUGGCCUCCCAUGAGCUCUUUUGUCUCAUGGUUGGUUGAAAAUUGAGACCUUGGUAGGGUGUGCCAUGAUAGAUGGUGGUUGUGUGACCCACGAGACCAAUCAUGCGCUUCUCUAUUGAAUUCGGCCUCUUUUACCCAUAUGCGUUUUUAAACGCUCGUGAUGAGACCUCAGGUCAGGCGGGACUACCCGCUGAAUUUAAGCAUAUCAAUAAGCGGAGGAAAAGAAACUAACAAGGAUUCCCUUAGUAACGGCGAGCGAACCGGGAUAAGCCCACCAUGAGAAUCGGUCGCCCUCGGCGUUCGAAUUGUAGUUGAAAAAAACCGCCAAAGGG